UAUCUGGUUGAUCCUGCCAGUAGUCAUAUGCUUGUCUCAAAGAUUAAGCCAUGCAUGUGCAAGUACGUACCUUCCUUAGAGUGAAACCGCAAACGGCUCAUUAAAUCAGUCAUAAUCUAUUGGGUGUCGAUUAUCCGUUUACUCGGAUAACCGUGGCAAUUCUAGAGCUAAUACGUGCGAUUAAGCCCCGACACUUCUCUCGAGAAAAACGUCUAAAAUUUUUAUCUUCUCAACACUCGCAAGAAUGUUUCUGAACGAUAGAUUGAUGAAAGAGAAAAAACAGAACCUCGCGUUCAAUCUCUCUUUCCUCUCUUUCUUCUUCAUCUUCCUCUUCUUCGGGUAAACGAGUAAGUAAAUAACCUAGGCGCCUCGCAGAGAGGGGGAAGGGCGCAGUUAUUAGAACCAUAAACCGAGACGGACUUUCGAGUCCGAAUAAAACUUUUGGUAUAUGGUGACUCUGGAUAACCUUUGCCAAGCGCUAAGGCCUCGUGCCGGCGCUGCUCCCUUCGAGUGACUGCCCUAUCAGCUUUCGAUUGUAGGAUAUUCGCCUACGAUGGCUGUAACGGGUAACGGGGGAAUCAGGGUUCGAUUCCGGAGAGGGAGCCUGAGAAACGGCUACCACAUCUAAGGAAGGCAGCAGGCACGCAAAUUACCCACUCCCGGCUCGGGGAGGUAGUGACGAAAAAUACCGAUGCGGGACUCAUCCGAGGCCUCGCAAUCGGAAUGAGCUCACUAUAAAAAAGUGGGCGAGGAUCAAUUGGAGGGCAAGUCUGGUGCCAGCAGCCGCGGUAAUUCCAGCUCCGAAUAGCGUAUAUUAAAGCUUGCUGCGGCUUAAAAAGCUCGUAGUUGGAAUUUCGGUUCGUACCGACGGCUCCACCCAAAGCGUUGUAUCGCAUAAUAUGCAAAGCUUCUAUUAUAUCUCUUCGCCGUACAUAAACUUUGUGUUAUUUGAGACGGCAAAUGGCGAGUAGAGAAGAGAGAGAGAGAGAGAAGUAAAGGUGUGGUGUGUGUGUGUGUAUGUAGUUUCUACUACCACCUCAUCCCCCCUAUAUCAUCUCUUCUUCUUCUUCUCUAUAUAUCUCUUCUCGUCGUCGUCUCGUAUAAAUAAUACAUACUACAGUUUAUGUAAAUGAGGUUAUUGAGAUACAUAUAUAUAUAGUUCUGCGCACUAUCGCGUUCAGCGCUGGGUGGUUUCUAAAACCGUCCGGUUUACGAAUUUGUAAAACUACUAAAACUUUUCGUCGGCUCUCACGGGGUGCUCUUCACCGAGUGUCCCGCGUGGCCGACGACGAUCGCUUUGAACAAAUUAGAGUGCUCAAAGCAGGCUAAAAAUUAUUGUUACGCCCGAAUAACAAUGCAUUGAACGAUGGAACAGGACCUCGGUUCUGCGCAUACUGUCGUNAACUAACUUUUUAUUCUCGGUUUUUACCCGAAUCCGAGGUAAUGAUUAACGGGAACGGUCGGGGGCAUUAGUAUUGCGACGCGAGAGGUGAAAUUCUAUGACCGUCGCAAGACUACCUACUGCGAAAGCAUUUGCCAAGUACGUUUCCAUUAAUCAAGAACGAAAGUUAGAGGAUCGAAGGCGAUCAGAUACCGCCCUAGUUCUAACCUUAAACGAUGCCAACUAGCGAUCCGCGUACCAGUCAUUCCCAAGACUGCGCGGGAAGCUCCCGGGAAACCAAAGUUUUUGGGUUCCGGGGGUAGUAUGGUUGCAAAGCUGAAACUUAAAGGAAUUGACGGAAGGGCACCACCNGGAGUGGAGGACUGCGGCUUAAUUUGACUCAACACGGGAAACCUCACCAGGCCCGGACACCGGAAGGAUUGACAGAAUGAGAGCUCUUUCUCGAUUCGGUGCAUGGUGGUGCAUGGCCGUUCUUAGUUGGUGGAGCGAUUUGUCUGGUUAAUUCCGAUAACGAACAAGACUCUGGCCUACUAAAUAGUCGGCGGAUCGUUUCCCGAGGUGUUUUCGCUCUUUUUUACCGCUUAUAAAAGCGUAUUGCGAAAAUAAAGGGGCGGACGACGUCGUCGUCGUCGUCGUCGUAGUAGUAUUAUUAUUAUUAACCGUUCUUAACAAAUACUACAAAGUCGAAAAAGGAAAAAAAUUUUUUUUCCCCAAGUAGGCUUUGUAUAACCUGUUUUUGAACGCGUUAUAUAUAUAUACUCUACGUACGUACGUACGUACGUACGUACGCUCGUUCGUUCCCUCGCUUGCGCUUUUAGGUAUUUAUAGGAGUGUUUCACCAAAGGGGCGUCCGUCGCCAAACUUAAUCUUCUUAGAGGGACACGGCGGUCUCGAGCCGUACGAGAAAGAGCAAUAACAGGUCUGUGAUGCCCUUAGAUGUCCUGGGCCGCACGCGCGCUACAAUGAAGGAAGCAGCGUGCUUUCCCCCUCCGAAAGGAGUUUGGGUAACCCGUUGAAACUCCUUCCCGAUUGGGAUUGGGGGUUGCAACGGUUGCCCAUGAACGAGGAAUUCCUUGUAAGCGCGAGUCAUUAGCCCGCGAUGAAUACGUCCCUGCCCUUUGUACACACCGCCCGUCGCUACUACCGAUGAAUGAUUAAGUGAGAGCGUCGGACUUAACACCCCUUUAUAGUGGGUAGUAGUAAUCACGUGUGUUUUUAUACAUACGUAUUCUACACAUCAUAUCCACUCGGGGAAGUUAGGGAAGACGUCCGAACUUGAUUAUUUAGAGGAAGUAAAAGUCGUAACAAGGUUGCCGUAGUGAACCUGCGGAAGGAUCAUUA
RNAcentral lists this ribosomal RNA (2743 nucleotides) under Cassidinidea sp. Its description in RNAcentral is "18S ribosomal RNA". It matches the Rfam family "Eukaryotic small subunit ribosomal RNA". The record is from RNAcentral. Lineage: Eukaryota; Metazoa; Arthropoda; Malacostraca; Isopoda; Sphaeromatidae.